CUUCUAUAUUCAACCAUGUAUCUUUCAUUGCCGUGGAGUUUUGUAUCUUAGAAAGUAUUAUCUGAAACAGCAGUGACUUACAGACUUAUAAUCCAGAAGAAAAAUAAGGAGAAUUUUGAUUGUGGACUUUCUAAUUGAAAUUAUUUUUAAAAAACUGGACAUAGGUUAAAUUACAUAUAAGGAAUAUGAUGGCACAAGAAUUAUUAUCAACAUUGUUUUAAAUUCGACAGCACCAGAAAAAAAUCGACAAUAGUAAAAGCAACAGAAUUUUUAGAUGUAAAGCUGAAUGGAAAUACUGUUUCGAAUUUGAAGGAAAAUUGGAAAGAAAAUGAGCAGUGAAAAUGGAAUGACCCCUGCCUUAGUGACCAUUGUAUCAAUGCCAUUUAUUGUACUGAUGUUAGCAUUCUGUUUCGCCUGCAGGACGUCCUACAGGACAGAGUCCAGGCCCAUACAGGACAUAGUAGAAUCACUAAGAACCAUCAAAAUUCAGAAGUUUAAUGAUCAGCAGCAGAAUACCUAAAAGAAGGAUUAUAUUUUAUAUAUUUCUAUAUUGUGUUUUUAUUUUUGUUCCUUCUGUUGUGUUAUUAGAUUUUGGAUUUCGAAAAACACAGAACAUAGUUUAUAUAGAAUUGUAUAGGUAAGAUUUUGCUAUAAAUUUACAUCAAAGUUUUACAAUUUAAUAACAAUGGGUCCUAAGAGAAACAUUCCUUCAUUAACGUAUGUAUUGUUGUAGACUUUGUGCUCUUUUUUUUUAAUUUUUAGCUGAAAAUCAUUAUUUCAUUUAGGUUGAUGAAAAAAACAAUGUAUGAUGCCUCUCAAAAAGUACUAGAAUCAAUAUUUUUUGUAAUUUUAUAAAUCGCCAUUUCUGCAAAAAUCGAAUGGAAUUCAUUCGACUUUUCGAAUAGAUAUAAAUUAAACAAGAAGAUGCAAGACAUAAAAUUAGCAUAUGGCGACUAUCAUGUUCUGAGUCCUUUUAUUUUUUGUAAGUCAAGUUUGAAUUGAUACGACAGUUUCAUUGAUUUUAAUCGUAUAAAAAUCCAGCUUUUGUCACCUGUAGAUUUUUUUAGACAAAUUAAGCGCUUGAUUUCAGUUAAAGGUAAAUUAGAAAUUUGGAAAGAUGAGGGAUAUAUCAGAGCCGUUGUUUAUUAUGAAUCUACGGUGACAAGAAUAACAAUCUACAGAUGGUAUACUUUACAAUUACUCUUCAGAAUAGCCAAAACAGUGUGUCAAAGAACGAAACUGUGGUAUCGUUGAUGUUAUUCGGCGCUUUGCAUUUGCGCCGAUCUGCAUUUCAUUUAGGGCGAUGUUUUCUUUCAAUUGCGCAUUUUGUGUUCAGCUAAACUACAGGUAAAUGUGGUUUUCUAUUUAUCAUUAUAAAUUUCUUCCGUUAGCCAGUUGUUCAUAUGUUGUGAAUUGCCAUUUAUAACAUGCAUAUAACUGGUUUCCCCUGCCCAACACGGGGAGGUGGAAGUAGGAUUUCGGGCAGGAUAAGUAAAAAAAGAUAAAAGCAGUUUUCUGUUCACAUCCACUAAAACCAUAGAUUAAAAAGCACAAUAUUUAAAAAAAUAAAAAUAAUACUGAAUACAAUAAAUUAUAGAUCAGUUCUUGCCGAGUAUUUAUAUGCUACAAAUACCAAUGUACUUCUUAUUGUAUUCCAUCUAGUCUAUCGAUGAUCAGAGAAAUGACCUCUCGGCUCGUUUCGGUGUGCAAUAUGUCCAUCGUGUAACAACGAAGUUUCCUAACAAUAUGAACCAAGAUUAACUUAAACAUAAGUCAACACCGCUUAUAUCCAGAUUUUACCAAUAUACAUUCUAGGUAAAGUACAUGUACAUGUAUUUACUUACCCCUGUUAAAAUACAAGUGCAGCAAAUAUAGAAUAUCGCUUGUGUAAAAAAAAAUUAGAUAUGCGCUAAUGAAGAAUUUAAUUGGCGCAAAUGAAAGAUCGAACAUUUUUUUUAAAUCGGUGCAAAUGUCAUUCGCCCAUGUCAAUAAAUUCCAAAAUGUUAAAACAGGAUGACUUACAUCUAAAAAUUCAUGGGUCAUCUUUUUGUGUCAGCAUACAAUUUUUUUUUUAACAAAAAACCUCGCAGACAUAUCCUCUUGUCGUUCUUCGUCUAAAGUCCUACAUAUGAAGUUCAUAAUUCUCAUAAUAAGAAUAAAAAUGAAUAAAAUUAUUAUAUAUAUAACAGUUACAUGUACGCAAUAAUCUUUCAGCAUUAACAUUUUUGAGACUUGCAGAAAAUAUCUUUUUAAUUGUCUUAUAUUCAUUUAAGCACUGUUUGCACUAAAAGGAAUUAGUAAAAAAAAACGCCAGUAUAUUUAUUUAAUAUAUGUUUUGCAGUACAAUUAUAGAUUUCUCUUCCUUAUAAUAUUGUCUUGUCUUGUUUUGUCUUGUCUUAUAGCUGAAAAUUAGCAGCGAUUAAAGAUUUAUUUUCAGAAACUGAGAAAAUUAAUUAAACUUUGAAAGGUUCAUUAGUUUUUAUCACAUAGAAUACAACGUAAAAUUAAUCACAAUAGAUAAAACUGUAUUUAAUAUUGCGAUACACGUGUCAUAGGAAGUUAUGGUAAGAGCUAAUUACAUCUCCCUUAUCGUGCUAACUCAAUGGAACUACAAGAGAUAUUUUUCACAACAAUGGCGUUUCAACUAUUCGUCCGUAUAAAAUGAAGCAAUAGGUUUAGUUUGAAAAAUUCAUACAAGAUAUUUUAGUAAUAUGCAGCAUGGUAGUUUGCAUAUUCCCCUAUUGCAUGUUCAAAUAUUUCGCUUGCAGACAUUUAAGAGUUAUUUUAAUAAUAAUAAGAUUUUGUAUGAUUGGCAAUAGGACAACUCUCCACACGAGACAAAACGACACAGUAAUUAACAACGAAAGGUCACCCACGGCCUUCAACAAUGAAUAAAACCCAUACGACAUUCAACAAUGAACAAAACUAAUAUCAUAAAUUAAAAUGUCUUAAGUUUAGCUCACAACAAAACAACAGCUAGUUUAUAUUCCUUGUAACAAGUACAAGAUACAUUUCCAUCCAGCGAUUUGCAUUUGCGCAAAUCAGCAUUUCUGUUCUUUCGAUUUGAGACCCAAACAUCUCGAAAAGGAUCCCAAUAACCUAUCAAUAUUUUAAACUGUUUUUGGUUCCUUAACUAAUGAUACUUCGACUUAUAGUAUCAAUUUUAAUGUCUUACAUAAAACGCAAAUCAAAAGGAAAACGAGUUCUAACCGGCCUUCUCAUAAGAUGACCGUCAUGUGGCAAUGUUAUAAUGGCACCAUUUAAAUCAUUCACGAUCACUUGAGGAAAUAUUUGAUGACUUGAGCAAAAUAACCACAAUGAACACAAAAAGAUUUGCUAAAUCAUUCAGAAGCAUCAAACAAUGGUCAUGUAAAAAAAGAAACGCGUUAAGUUUGAAUUCAUAGACAUAUUUGAAUUACUUCAGCAUUUUAAACAACAAAGCAAAAAUGUGCAACAAAAUUCAACAGAUGAAUAACAUGGACGAGAUUUAAAAAAAAAAUAAAAAAUUCCAACUUCACAUGGCAAAAUUGACCUUCAAAUAAUUUGGGUAGUCUUUUUGUGUUCACUUUGGUGAUAUUGCGCAAGACCCUUUCGUAUACAGCACGUUGAAAGUUUCUAUCACGUGACAUCACGUAAUUCAAAUUAGGGUUUUGUGACCGUGACUGUUAUCAACAUAUGUAUGAAGGCAUCAAAACAUAUAACUAAUAAUGUGUUAGGUAUAGAAAGCAAAGGAGAGAGGCAUGAAUUGAUGCAGCAGAGAAGAAAAACCCAC
This 3772-nucleotide long non-coding RNA is filed under the name Mytilus galloprovincialis (Mediterranean mussel). Lineage: Eukaryota; Metazoa; Mollusca; Bivalvia; Mytilida; Mytilidae. The record is from RNAcentral.